RNAcentral lists this ribosomal RNA (480 nucleotides) under uncultured bacterium. RNAcentral describes it as "bacterial SSU rRNA". It matches the Rfam family "Bacterial small subunit ribosomal RNA", at positions 28 to 507 of the family's 1533-position model. The record is from RNAcentral.
GAUGAACGCUAGCGGGAGGCCUAACACAUGCAAGCCGAGCGGUAGGGUCUCUUCGGAGACUUGAGAGCGGCGUACGGGUGCGUAACACGUGUGCAACCUGCCUCUAUCUGGGGGAUAGCCUUCCGAAAGGGAGAUUAAUACCCCAUAAUAUAAUGAUUGGCAUCAAUUAUUAUUGAAAACUCCGGUGGAUAGAGAUGGGCACGCGCAAGAUUAGAUAGUUGGUGGGGUAACGGCCCACCAAGGUCGAUGAUCUUUAGGGGUCCUGAGAGGGAGAUCCCCCACACUGGUACUGAGACACGGACCAGACUCCUACGGGAGGCAGCAGUGAGGAAUAUUGGACAAUGGGUGGAAGCCUGAUCCAGCCAUCCCGCGUGAAGGACGACGGCCCUAUGGGUUGUAAACUUCUUUUGUACAGGGAUAAACCUCCCCUCGUGAGGGGAGCUGAAGGUACUGUACGAAUAAGCACCGGCUAACUCCGUG